Molecule: unclassified non-coding RNA, 313 nt
Organism: Mesocricetus auratus (golden hamster)
Lineage: Eukaryota; Metazoa; Chordata; Mammalia; Rodentia; Cricetidae
Gene: 7SK
Rfam family: 7SK RNA
About the family: 7SK was discovered as an abundant small nuclear RNA in the mid-70s but a possible function has only recently been suggested. Two independent studies have found that 7SK RNA binds the CDK9/cyclin T complex (known as elongation factor P-TEFb).
Source: Ensembl
GCUUGAGAAGGUGACCUGGCUAUGACGCCCAUCACCACACUGAUCUGCAGUGUGGACAGGCUGCCGGGCUGUCGAGGGGUCCCCUUCCUCCCUGACGGCGUCAUAUGCACCCCUCCUGAAACUGCACAGACAGGACGCCUCUCCUGGAUGGAGGAAUGCUGUCCUGCAGUCAAGGGCAAACGGCCAGCCUUCUCUGCGGCAAGAGCCUCCAAAUGAGGUUUGAAAAGAAAAGCAUUUGCAACGGGUCAAACUCGUAGCAAAUUCACCUUUCAGUGCCACACCUGGGCCCUUACUAGACAGCUUGCCCACACUG